Molecule: long non-coding RNA, 200 nt
Filed under: Lathyrus oleraceus (garden pea)
Lineage: Eukaryota; Viridiplantae; Streptophyta; Magnoliopsida; Fabales; Fabaceae
Description: Pisum sativum (pea) long non-coding RNA (PSAT_LNC027152)
Source: RNAcentral
GGAUACGGGGUAGAAAACCAUGGAAGAGUAACCGUCAUCGGUUAGGAUGAACAAAAAGGUUAACUCUGCAAGGGGAUAAAAUAGGGUUUACAACUACCGGAAUAAGGGUAGAGAACCAAAGAAAUAGGACUUAUAACUUCCGGUAUGAGGGUAGAAGGCCAUAGACUCCGUCGGGGAAAAGAUGGACGAUUACUAGUUAC